CCUACGGGAGGCAGCAGUGAGGAAUAUUGGUCAAUGGGCGGAAGCCUGAACCAGCCAAGCCGCGUGAAGGAAGAAGGCGCCAGGCGUCGUAAACUUCUUUUGUCGGGGAACAAAGGGCGCCACGUGUGGCGUUUUGAGUGUACCCGAAGAAAAAGCAUCGGCUAACUCCGUGCCAGCAGCCGCGGUAAUACGGAGGGUGCGAGCGUUAACCGGAUUUUUUGGGUGUAAAGGGUGGGUAGGCGGUUCGGGAAGUUAGCAGGUAAAUGCCCGGGCGCAACCCCGGCCGAGCCGUUGAUACUGGCGGACUAGAGACGGCGAGAAGUACGCGGAAUGCGUGGUGUAGCGGUGAAAUGCAUAGAUAUCGCGAAGAACUCCGAUUGCGAAGGCAGCGUACCGGCGCCAGACUGACGCUGAGGCACGAAAGCGUGGGUAUCGAACAGGAUUAGAUACCCGAGUAGUC
RNAcentral lists this ribosomal RNA (460 nucleotides) under uncultured bacterium. RNAcentral describes it as "partial 16S ribosomal RNA". It matches the Rfam family "Bacterial small subunit ribosomal RNA", at positions 338 to 795 of the family's 1533-position model. The record is from RNAcentral.